This 26-nucleotide unclassified non-coding RNA is filed under the name Mus musculus (house mouse). RNAcentral describes it as "oocyte_clustered_small_RNA5764". Lineage: Eukaryota; Metazoa; Chordata; Mammalia; Rodentia; Muridae. The record is from RNAcentral.
UACUGCUUCUUAGGGCAAAAAGUGAG